UACGUAGGGGGCAAGCGUUAUCCGGAUUUACUGGGUGUAAAGGGAGCGUAGACGGCAUAGCAAGUCUGAAGUGAAAGCCCGUGGCUCAACCGCGGAACUGCUUUGGAAACUGUUAAGCUGGAGUACUGGAGAGGCAAGCGGAAUUCCUAGUGUAGCGGUGAAAUGCGUAGAUAUCAGGAGGAACACCGGCGGCGAAGGCGGCCUGCUGGACCGUGACUGACGUUGAGGCUCGAAAGCGUGGGGAGCAAACAGG
RNAcentral lists this ribosomal RNA (253 nucleotides) under uncultured bacterium. Its description in RNAcentral is "partial 16S ribosomal RNA". It matches the Rfam family "Bacterial small subunit ribosomal RNA", at positions 524 to 776 of the family's 1533-position model. The record is from RNAcentral.